Molecule: long non-coding RNA, 236 nt
Filed under: Amborella trichopoda
Lineage: Eukaryota; Viridiplantae; Streptophyta; Magnoliopsida; Amborellales; Amborellaceae
Description: long non-coding RNA (ATRI_LNC002819)
Source: RNAcentral
AACAAUGUGCUCAUUGUAGUUACACUGCUUUUUGUGGAUUUGGAUUUAUUAGUGUUGACAUAAAUAUUGUCUUCAUGAGAUUUAGCAAUUUAUAUUUAGGUGAAUGACUUGAAAGGGAAUAUUUGUGUUAUGAAGUUAAUUUUUCAUGUGAGCCAUGUACAGUCGAUGCCAGUAAAUUUUUAUGAUUCUCUUUAUCUCCCAUAUCAGACCACCCCCGUUUGAAAUUUUUUAAUUAU